Nemania abortiva is the source of this 84-nucleotide non-coding RNA. The record is from the annotation of a GenBank genome assembly. Lineage: Eukaryota; Fungi; Ascomycota; Sordariomycetes; Xylariales; Xylariaceae.
GGUUCGGUGGCCUAAUGGCAAGGCGUCACUUUCCGGUCUUUCUACGAUUGGUGAAGAUUGCGGGUUCGAGUCCCGUCCGGAUCG